UACGUAGGGUGCAAGCGUUGUCCGGAAUCAUUGGGCGUAAAGGGCGCGUAGGCGGCCUGCUAAGUCGGACGUGAAAUCCCCCGGCUCAACCGGGGAACUGCGUCCGAUACUGGUGGGCUCGAAUCCGGGAGAGGGAUGUGGAAUUCCAGGUGUAGCGGUGAAAUGCGUAGAUAUCUGGAGGAACACCGAUGGCGAAGGCAGUGUUCUGGGCCAGUACUGACGCUGAGGAGCGAAAGCGUGGGGAGCAAACAGG
RNAcentral lists this ribosomal RNA (253 nucleotides) under uncultured bacterium. RNAcentral describes it as "partial 16S ribosomal RNA". It matches the Rfam family "Bacterial small subunit ribosomal RNA", at positions 524 to 776 of the family's 1533-position model. The record is from RNAcentral.